RNAcentral lists this ribosomal RNA (127 nucleotides) under Tomentella sp. Its description in RNAcentral is "partial large subunit ribosomal RNA". It matches the Rfam family "Eukaryotic large subunit ribosomal RNA", at positions 139 to 261 of the family's 3401-position model. The record is from RNAcentral. Lineage: Eukaryota; Fungi; Basidiomycota; Agaricomycetes; Thelephorales; Thelephoraceae.
CGAGUUGUAGUCUGGAGAAGUGUUUUCCGUGUUGGACCGUGUACAAGUCCCUUGGAACAGGGCGUCAUAGAGGGUGAGAAUCCCGUCUUUGACACGGACUACCAAUGCCUUGUGAUGCGCUCUCAAA